GAUGAACGCUGGCGGCGUGCCUAACACAUGCAAGUCGAACGGAGAUGCGAUGUGAGCGAGAGGUGCUUGCACUGAUUAAUCUUUUCGUAUCUUAGUGGCGGACGGGUGAGUAACGCGUGGGUAACCUGCCUUAUACCGGGGGAUAACGCAUCGAAAGAUGUGCUAAUACCGCGUAAGACCACAGCUUCACAUGGAGCGGGGGUCAAAGGAGCAAUCCGGAUAAAGAUGGGCUCGCGUCCGAUUAGCUAGUUGGUGAGAUAACAGCCCACCAAGGCGACGAUCGGUAGCUGGUCUGAGAGGACGACCAGCCACACUGGGACUGAGACACGGCCCAGACUCCUACGGGAGGCAGCAGUGGGGAAUUUUGGACAAUGGGGGCAACCCUGAUCCAGCCAUGCCGCGUGCAGGAUGAAGGCCUUCGGUUGUAAACUGCUUUGUCUAGGGACGAAAAGGACCGUGUUAAUACCAUGGUCUG
RNAcentral lists this ribosomal RNA (475 nucleotides) under uncultured bacterium. RNAcentral describes it as "bacterial SSU rRNA". It matches the Rfam family "Bacterial small subunit ribosomal RNA", at positions 28 to 475 of the family's 1533-position model. The record is from RNAcentral.